GGGUAGUUUGACUGGGGCGGUCUCCUCCUAAAGAGUAACGGAGGAGCACGAAGGUUGGCUAAUCCUGGUCGGACAUCAGGAGGUUAGUGCAAUGGCAUAAGCCAGCUUGACUGCGAGCGUGACGGCGCGAGCAGGUGCGAAAGCAGGUCAUAGUGAUCCGGUGGUUCUGAAUGGAAGGGCCAUCGCUCAACGGAUAAAAGGUACUCCGGGGAUAACAGGCUGAUACCGCCCAAGAGUUCAUAUCGACGGCGGUGUUUGGCACCUCGAUGUCGGCUCAUCACAUCCUGGGGCUGAAGUAGGUCCCAAGGGUAUGGCUGUUCGCCAUUUAAAGUGGUACGCGAGCUGGGUUUAGAACGUCGUGAGACAGUUCGGUCCCUAUCUGCCGUGGGCGCUGGAGAACUGAGGGGGGCUGCUCCUAGUACGAGAGGACCGGAGUGGACGCAUCACUGGUGUUCGGGUUGUCAUGCCAAUGGCACUGCCCGGUAGCUAAAUGCGGAAGAGAUAAGUGCUGAAAGCAUCUAAGCACGAAACUUGCCCCGAGAUGAGUUCUCCCUGACUCCUUGAGAGUCCUGAAGGAACGUUGAAGACGACGACGUUGA
This 599-nucleotide ribosomal RNA is filed under the name Escherichia coli. Its description in RNAcentral is "partial 23S ribosomal RNA". It matches the Rfam family "Bacterial large subunit ribosomal RNA", at positions 2263 to 2856 of the family's 2925-position model. Lineage: Bacteria; Pseudomonadati; Pseudomonadota; Gammaproteobacteria; Enterobacterales; Enterobacteriaceae. The record is from RNAcentral.